This is a long non-coding RNA of Tympanuchus pallidicinctus (lesser prairie-chicken), 2890 nucleotides long. RefSeq lists it as uncharacterized. The record is from RefSeq and is a predicted model, not a curated record. NCBI's taxonomy places the organism in Eukaryota, Metazoa, Chordata, Aves, Galliformes, Phasianidae. The transcript has 3 exons.
UUGAGAAGCAAUUCUGCAUUGCUCAGCGGAAGAAAAUGAAAAUUUAACAGAAAGUGAACUCUUCCAAGUCAAUGAAGAAGAAGCCAGCCCAGUGGGGAAGGAAAUGAGUAUACUGGGACUAGGAAUCUUGUAUGUCUGGGCUCAGGCAAGUGAAAGAAGAAAAAGCACAUGAUGUCCUUUCCGGUGGAGGGAAGCUAUUUAUGUUGGCCCAGCUGCCCACGAAAUGGCAGCCUAUGGCUGGGAGGAAGAGGAAAGAGGGAGUUGGCUCAGAAAAGAUGCUUGGAAAUGGAGACUUGGACUGUUGGGCAAAGAACUGGAGGGCUGGAGGCAGACAUUAAGUUCACAGAGAAAUUACUGGUUUGAAAAGGGGUUGUAUGGGAAUGAACCAAUGACUGAGCACCUGGUGAAGGUACACAGCCAGCCCAGGGAGCACAGGUGAAAACAAUUCACCUGUGUGACUGGAACCAGGUUCCACCUCUCCCUAAGCCUCAUUUAAGGGGUGGCUGCUCCAAGGGAAGGAUCUGUACCUGCAGAUCCUUCCUUUUGGUGUAUUUGUAAGACCUGAUCCUGGGGGGUGUACUCUAGGCAAAUUAAAAUAAUAAUACAUGAUAAUACAAGUAAGGAAACCCACGUCCACCCUGCUGAACCACACCGCCUCUUUAAACCAUGCUGAGAUGAGAGCUGCUGGUGAAGUACCCUUCAAAUCUCUGGUAUUCCUUGGAAAUUACAUAGCAACUUAUGAAAGCAAUGGGAACAUUACUAAUAUAACACCAUGUCAUCUCCUGAUAUCAGUGUAAAUGCCUUGGAUCACCACAGUAUUUGAUAACAUCACAAAGAUAAAUGUUUCAUCCAUGCAUAAUUCCAACAGUGGAGGAUGAAUGUGGCAGCAAGACAAUUUGCAUUCCUGCAAACGUACCAAAGCUCAAUGGAUAUAACUGACACAAAAAUGUAGAAGUAUUUUAGAGAAGCACUGAAAGUCGGUGUCUGUUUCUGUGGAGAAAGAUUGAGGUGAGUGUGUUCAACCAUGCCAUAAAGAAAAAACCAAACUUACUUCAUAGUUUUCAAAACCUAUCCAGGGAGAAAGGAUUAUGGUCUGACUUCCAAUCCACAGUGAAUUAAUUACUUGUUUGUUACUGAGUACAAAAGAUUAAACUGAAGCUUUAGGCAGAGCAAGUCUGAUGCGGCUGUGCAUCAGUGAUUUCAACUGCUGGUCAUAAAAACAAAGUACCAUUUUAAAAGUUACCAAGCUUUCUUAGUGUUGUUCUAUGCCCAUCACUGGAUCCAGGUGCAGCAGCUCCAGAGACAAACAGGUACCACAGCUUGCUCCUGCAUCUCCAUCUUCACAGCCCCAUACAAGUCAUCCCCAAGAAGUCCAUUCCUAUGUACUCUAUACCAGGUAAUUCUUGCUCUCAUUACAAUUAAAACUGUGUGCUUACUCUGUGAUCUCGGCAAGAGACUUAUUAAAGUCAACCAACAGCAGCUCUUUGGUAGUACAAAAGCUUGUUUUGAGUACCUAAAGCAAGCCCAGUCAACAGAACCCUGGACUUUUUAUGGGUUACCUUCAGAAGCUCUGAGAUACCACUGAUACCUGCAAAUUCAUGAAGGAAAACCAAUAGGAAAGCAAGUAACAGUACUAAAUAUUAAAUGCAAAGAGCACAGCUGUAUGAAGCAGUUGAAUCCCUUGCUAGCUAUACUGCAGACAUGGACAGGUGGGAUCAUGGAUUAAGGAAGAGGUAAUGAUAAAUAAAAGAGAAAGGAAUCAAACACAGUGAAAAUGCUGAUAAUUGAAGACUAUGUACUAGAGCUAACGCUUUCAGCAAUGUUUGUCUAAAGCACAGCGCUCAGGGAAAGUGCAUUAGCAUCCCAAAACAAAUGCAAAGCCCAGUUCAACCAAACAGCUUCAUAUAAAUUUUAUGUUUCUGUAUUGCACAUUCAAAAGCUGUGAGGUGUGGAAGCUGUCUGCAUGGUAAAUUUCCGUCUAGAGAAAAUUUCCCCAGACUGAGGUUUCAAGCACAAAUGCAACAUGUUUUCCAUUAAUACCACUAAAAAAUUCUGCAGAUGUUGCAGGAUGAUGUUAUUGCUUAUAAAAAGUAACAAUAAUGCAGACAAAGAAAAGAUUGUUCACAAUUCUUUAGAAACUCUGGGGAAUUUCAUGGUGAAAUACAGAGGUUAAUUUGGGAUCAAUGCAGACCUACAUGAACUUUUCAACGCUGAGAAGAAUCUGAGGCACCACUGUAAGACCAGAAUAAAAAAAAAAAAGGUAAGGGAACAACAAUGAUUGAAAAGAGUUUGAUAUUUAUCCAAUCCUGCAAGCAAGUUACUUCAUUUUCAGUCUAAAGUCUCAGUCCAGAAAACUGUUCUACAUGGGCAGCACUGUGCUUCACCCAUGCAAUACAAUUUUCAGGAUCAAAGAUUUCAGAAAAUUCUCAUGUCAGCCUAUAGGCAUCAUGUGAAAAGUUUUGCACUUUUCAUGCAGUGGAAAUCAAAGCUCUCAAAGUGUAUCUGAAAACUGUGAAUCCCUGUGACUUUCAAUGGCAUCUCAAGAGACUCCUGGCAAGCUCCUGCCUCCUCUGUGAGCCUGUAUGCUGUGCUUGCCAAGAUUGCAUUGAGCCUGUCCCUGGAACAGGACCAGAGAGAUGAUUUAUCUGGAGCAAUGGACUUAUUGGAUCAACUGUCCAGUCUUGCUCUUGCCAGCUCUGCUGAGUGGUGGCAGAGAGCAGUGAAAAACAGGCAAGAGAAAGUAACACCUGCUAACGUUGACCUCAGCAUCUCUACCAAAGCAUGUAAGACCAAAGCAAAGCGCUUAAUUCUUGUGAUCAGGUUAUUUCCCACCAGGCUGCUCCUGCUCAACAACCCUAUGAUGUAUGACGAAAUUACUCACCGCCAGCAA